RNAcentral lists this unclassified non-coding RNA (220 nucleotides) under Hevea brasiliensis (rubber tree). The record is from RNAcentral. Lineage: Eukaryota; Viridiplantae; Streptophyta; Magnoliopsida; Malpighiales; Euphorbiaceae.
GGUUGAUUCUGGUAACCCAUGUUACGCCAUUGUGCUAUUGUCAUUCCAUGGAAGAUGACCAAGCUAAAAUACGAAUCCAAUAAGAGAAUUCGGUCGGCCGCAAUUGAAGCUACAUCCAACAAUGCAGGUUGAGGCAAUGAGUUAAAUGAAUACGAUAUUAGUGAUGGUUGAAUCAUGACAGCAGCAUUGGUGAUGUUUUCUCGGUUUAACAACAUGCGGA